AUUGUGUGAAUACAUAGCACAUUCGAGGUAGACGCAGAGAACUGAAACAUCUAAGUACCUGCAGGAAGAGAAAGAAAAUUCGAUUCCCUGAGUAGCGGCGAGCGAAACGGGAAAAGCCCAAACCAGCAAGCUUGCUUGUUGGGGUUGUAGGACUCCAAUAUGGUAGUUCUUUCAGAUAGUCGAAUGACUUGGAAAAGUCAGUCAAAGAGGGUAAAAACCCCGUAGACGAAAUGUGGAAGACACCUAGGAGGAUCCUGAGUACGGCGGAACACGAGAAAUUCCGUCGGAAUCCGGGAGGACCAUCUCCCAAGGCUAAAUACUCCCUAGUGACCGAUAGUGAACCAGUACCGUGAGGGAAAGGUGAAAAGCACCCCGGAAGGGGAGUGAAAUAGAACCUGAAACCGUGUGCCUACAACAAGUCAAAGCCCGUUAAUGGGUGAUGGCGUGCCUUUUGUAGAAUGAACCGGCGAGUUACGAUUGCAUGCGAGGUUAAGUUGAAGAGACGGAGCCGCAGCGAAAGCGAGUCUGAAUAGGGCGUUUGAGUAUGUAGUCGUAGACCCGAAACCAUGUGAUCUACCCAUGUCCAGGUUGAAGGUGCGGUAAAACGCACUGGAGGACCGAACCCACGUACGUUGAAAAGUGCGGGGAUGAGGUGUGGGUAGCGGAGAAAUUCCAAACGAACUUGGAGAUAGCUGGUUCUCUCCGAAAUAGCUUUAGGGCUAGCCUCGGAAUUGAGAAUGAUGGAGGUAGAGCACUGUUUGGACUAGGGGCCCAUCUCGGGUUACCGA
Molecule: ribosomal RNA, 788 nt
Filed under: Enterococcus faecium
Lineage: Bacteria; Bacillati; Bacillota; Bacilli; Lactobacillales; Enterococcaceae
Description: partial 23S ribosomal RNA
Rfam family: Bacterial large subunit ribosomal RNA
Source: RNAcentral